UACAGAGGGUGCAAACGUUGCUCGGAAUCAUUGGGCGUAAAGCGCACGUAGGCGGCCCAGCAAGUGGGGAGUGAAAGCCUGUGGCUCAACCACAGAAUUGCCUUCGAUACUGUUUGGCUUGAGACCGGAAGAGGUUAGUGGAACUGCGAGUGUAGAGGUGAAAUUCGUAGAUAUUCGCAAGAACACCAGUGGCGAAGGCGGCUGACUGGUCCGGUUCUGACGCUGAGGCGCGAAAGCGUGGGGAGCAAACAGG
RNAcentral lists this ribosomal RNA (253 nucleotides) under uncultured bacterium. Its description in RNAcentral is "partial 16S ribosomal RNA". It matches the Rfam family "Bacterial small subunit ribosomal RNA", at positions 524 to 776 of the family's 1533-position model. The record is from RNAcentral.